UUUUUUUUUUCAUUUAGAUAAUGCCAAAGAGCACAGCCAAAGCCAUGAGGGACGGGGAGUGUGACAAGGGCUGAAGGGAAGCAGAUGGAAGAGAGCUUGCCCAUGGAAAGGCAGCCUGGCCACCAGUGUUGGUAAGUCCCUCCCUGCACAGCAGCUCAAGGACAGUUCAGAAAGCAGCUCCAAGCAUUUCCAGCAUGGUGCCCAUGAAUAAUUAACCCAAACAAAACAACAAACAGUGUUUCCUCAUCAGCAUGCCAUGUGGACCCAGCUGCCAACAGAGGAGUGUGGUGAGACUGACUCAGCUCCUGAGAGCAAUGAAUCCCUGAAAUGCCCAGGAAUGGGAAUUUCUGCCUGGGCAGAGCAGCAACAAGGAGCUGAGGAGGGCCCUAGAUGGGGAGAUGGGAUAUCUGAGCCUCUUGUGACUCCUUCUCAGGAUUCUGCACUGCUGCCUUUCUUCAGAGCAGGAAGAGCUGGUUUGGUUGCUGUCCUUCAAAUGAUGCAUCUCAUCACAUGGCAAAGAGUAGGAAAAAAACCACAAACCACCUAGAAAGAGCCACAGGAGCAGCAGAAAAAGAGGUAAAAUAACUGGAUCCAUUUGAGGUAUUUCUGCUUUGUUUUUCCUCUAUGCCACAAUCUAAUGCCAAGCACUUGAGAACAGGGGCUGUGCUCUGAGGAACAAGAACUGACUGGUUUUUUUCUUUGCUUGCUUGUUUAUUGUGUUGUUUUUCCCUGCAAGGGAUUUGUUUAAUGCUUUGCUAAUAGAACUGUGCAACUCUUUAGUGAUGAAUCAUGAAAUACCCUGAGCUGGGAGGGACCCACUGGGAUCAUCAGCCCUGCACAGACAGCCCAAAAACCCCACCCUGAGCAUCCAUGAGAGCUCCCUGGGGAGCCUGGGCAGUGCCAGCACCCUCAGGGGGAAGAACAUUCCCCAGCAUCCAAUUAAACCCCCCUGACACAGCUCCAGCUGCUCCCCAACAUUUCCAGUCCCAGUGCUGGGAAGACAGAGGGAUUAUCUCUUCUUACUCUGUGGUUUUACACUGCCUCUUCUAUUUUCCCAUGCAGCCUCUUACUCCUGGUUGCAGGUAUCCUUCUGUUUGCUGAGUGGUGGGAUCACACCUCUCAGCUGCUGUCAGAACAGGUGGAAGCCACUUCUUAUAGUGGAAUUUAGACACUGGGGGUUUACCUGAGUCUGGCCAAGAAUGCUGCAUCACCAGAUGGGCAGAGGGAUGCUUCCAAUCCUCUUCUGGACACACCUAGGGGAAAAAUAAGUCUUUUAUUCAGAUGUCCUGUCUCUCCUUGCUUUCCUAGGUCCUUCAAAACCAGCCAGGCUCUUUGGAGUUUUGCCUUUCUGCAAAAGGCAGACUGACCUGAGCUGGAUUAGGUCCAGAAUCUACUCUAACACCUCCUGCCUGCAGCUGGCAGCUCUGGUCAGCUCUGGAAGGCUUUUUGCAGCUCAGGGGGAUACCUGUGAUGACUAAAUUAACCGUGGUGGUGUGGGGAGCUGCCUGGAUUCCAGAAAAGAUGCUGACAGUAAGAACUACUGUGAAAUGGAUGUUUCCCUGUCUGUGAGCACAGGUGUGGCCAAGACCAAGGAGCAGCACUGGAAGGUGUGGUAGGUCCUGAGUGUCCUGCAAGAUGGAGAAGUUUGAAACUCCACCCUGCUGCUCUGUGGAUGGGACUGCUGCUUCUUGGGACUGUUUAUCUUUGGGAUCCUGCUACUGCUGGAGCAUCACACACAGGAUUAUCCAAAGCAUUCCUGUUUGCCUCCUCCUUGGAGCUGCAGCCAGGCCUUUGCAGCAGCUCCUCCUGAGCUUCAGGAGCAGAAGACAAGCCCAGGCAGGUCACCUCCAGCAGGAGCUGUGCUCCACUCAGGCAGCUCAGGCUGGGGCACGUUCCAGUGGCUCCUCUGUGCUUCUCCUGUACCUGAGACAUGCAUGCAUCAAAUGUUUCAGUUUGCAGGGCCAUCACCCUGGCAGCUUUCCUUGCUAAAUUCACUUUUUAAAGCUCCAUCAGUGUUGUCUCCAGAGGGGAUGGAGGAACAGAUGCAGCUUGUGAAGUCUGGCUUUAAUUCACCCGCCUCAUUUAAUUCCCUGCCCUGCCUACUAAUCAAGGAGUCUGCACUAGAGCUCUGGGAGUACCACGGGUUUUCCACAUCCUGGAGAAUUCAACACAGUGCCUGAACUCCCAGGCUCUCAAGCAGGCUGGCACUUUCCUUUGAGGCCGCUUCAAUGUGGAUUUCCCUCCCCAGAACCCUUGCAGACACUCUCCAGCCCAUGAGCUGCUGCUCAUUUCAGAGCUGCUUGCAGGGCAGCUCUGUCCCAUUGUCCCCGCUCAGCCUGGGUGACAUUCCCUCCUGGAAGGGCUCUCCUUCAAGGGUCUCAGCCCCAGGUUUGCUUUUCAGGGCCUGAAAACACUUUUUGCUGGGCUGUGCUGUGUCAGACACACUGCUGGGGCCAUUUCACCUCCCAGGGCUCCCAGUGGGACCAGCAGAGCCUGGCAGGGGCUCCUUUCUCCCCCUCAGCCCCUGAGUGUGUCACUUCUGUGCCAGCAGAGAGAAACACAACUUUCCCAGGCAUCCAUCUGGGAAAAGUCUGUGAGAAGAUCAGAGAAAAGAAUGAGAAACAAUUCUUAUCUCAACUUGCUACACCUAGUGCUGGAAACAUGCAAAAUGUGUUAUGAAGAUUUGUUCACCAAAAAGCACUUUUUAAAUUAACCAAUAGUAAUAGUGUUUUAAGUAAAAAAACAAUUAAGUCAAUCUGUAGCAAACUAGUCUAUAAAAGAGCAAUGUGUUUCUUAGUUAAAAUACAUUACUCAACCUUCUGUAAUACAUAAAGCCUAUAGCAGUGAUUACCUGGCUGCUGUGAUAACUUCCAGGUGUCCCUUCUCCAAGGACAGCACAGUGCUGCUGUCAAGCACUGCCUAAGGGCUGUCAGGAAGCUCCAGUGAAAGGAUUUCUGGCACUUUUUGUUUAAGCAGACUUCCUCUCUCUGUACUGGAUUUGUUUUUUGGGCUGCUGUUAAUUGCAGCAGUGGAAUUGUUGUUUAAUCAGCUGGUGUCAAAGGCUGCCUUUGCCUGGUGUACCUAUUUUGUGACACCACUGCUUCUCCUCACAUGUUAUAAUCUGUACCAGAUUGCUCUUUGCCUGCUAAAAUGGACAAUUAGGUUCCAGUUGUAAUGCAAAUCACAGAGUGGAAUAAAAGCUGUGGGGAACAAAAUCCCCAGUAAGUAGUUAUGUCAGCCUUUGUUAUGGUGUGAUGACUUCUGCUCCUGCUCCGUGAAGGAUCAGGGGGAGAGAAUCUGUUGUGCCUUUGUGUUUUACAGGCACCAGCUCGAUGUAAGGCUGCCUUUAGGCACUGGCAGUCCUGAUAGUGUGUGUGCAAACCUAACAGACACAUUCCACCCACACUGGAAAUUUGAUGAUUGCCUUGUUUUUUCGAGGCUCUGUUUUAUAUACUACAGGCCAUACCCAUGGGGUAAUUGCCAGUCUCUGCACAGGGGCUGGGAUGAGAGAGAAGCACAGAGAUGCUGAAAUUUCAGUCUGCCACAUCAUGUGCUCCUAAUCCUUAUGGCCCUGUAAUUGUGAUGCUGUCACCGGUGGCAUUGCAGUUGUUCUUCUCACUGUUUUCCAUGUGCUAAAUAUUGUAAAUGAAGAGAAAUAUUUAGAUUUGUAAAGGAAUCUAACUUUACUGUGGAAUUAAACACACAGGAGCCUGAAAA
Molecule: non-coding RNA, 3717 nt
Organism: Taeniopygia guttata (zebra finch)
Lineage: Eukaryota; Metazoa; Chordata; Aves; Passeriformes; Estrildidae
Source: RefSeq, a predicted model, not a curated record